CUGGCGGCGUGCUUACACAUGCAAGUCGCACGAGAACACCUCAGCUUGCUGGGGUAAGUAAAGUGGCGCACGGGUGAGUAACGCGUGGGUAAUCUGCCCUCGAAUCUGGGAUAACCCCGCGAAAGCGGGGCUAAUACCGGAUGAAAUCCAGUUAGCUUUGGCUAUAUGGAUCAAAGGUGGCCUCUGCAUGCAAGCUACUGUUUGGGGAUGAGCCCGCGUACCAUUAGCUUGUUGGUGGGGUAAAGGCCCACCAAGGCGACGAUGGUUAGCUGGUCUGAGAGGAUGAUCAGCCACACUGGAACUGGAACACGGUCCAGACUCCUACGGGAGGCAGCAGUGAGGAAUUUUGCGCAAUGGGGGUAACCCAGACGCAGCAACGCCGCGUGGAUGAUGAAGGCCUUCGGGUUGUAAAAUCCUUUUCCGGGGGAAGAAUCAUGACGGUACCUCGGGAAUAAGUCCCGGCUAACUACGUGCCAGCAGCCGCGGUAAAACGUAGGGGGCGAGCGUUAUCCGGAUUUACUGGGCGUAAAGCGCACGUAGGCGGCGCUGUAAGUUGGGCGUGAAAGCUCCCGGCUCAACUGGGAGAGGUCGUUCAAAACUGCAGUGCUUGAGGUUGGAAGAGGAGAGUGGAAUUCCCGGUGUAGUGGUGGAAUGCGUAGAUAUCGGGAGGAACACCAGUGGCGAAGGCGGCUCUCUGGUCCAACCCUGACGCUGAGGUGCGAAAGCGUGGGGAGCGAACGGGAUUAGAUACCCCGGUAGUCCACGCUGUAAACGAUGGAUACUAGGUGUGGAGGUUACUUACCCCUUCCGUGCCGUAGCUAACGUGAUAAGUAUCCCGCCUGGGGACUACGGCCGCAAGGUUAAAACUCAAAGGAAUAGACGGGGGCCCGCACAAGCAGCGGAGCGUGUGGUUUAAUUCGAUGAUACGCGAAGAACCUUACCUGGGCUUGACAUGUUGGUAGUAGUGAAGCGAAAGCGGAUCGACCCUUCGGGGAGCCAUCACAGGUGCUGCAUGGCUGUCGUCAGCUCGUGUCGUGAGAUGUUGGGUUAAGUCCCGCAACGAGCGCAACCCUUGUCGUUAGUUACAUGUGUCUAGCGAGACUGCCGGUACCAAACCGGAGGAAGGUGGGGAUGACGUCAAGUCAGCAUGGUCUUUAUGUCCAGGGCUACACACACGCUACAAUGGCCGGUACAAUAGGUUGCCACACCGCGAGGUGGAGCUAAUCCCCAAAGCCGGUCUCAGUUCGGAUUGUAGUCUGUAACUCGACUGCAUGAAGGCGGAGUUGCUAGUAACCGCGCGUCAGCAAUAGUGCGGUGAAUGCGUUCCCGGGCCUUGUACACACCGCCCGUCACAUCACGGAAGUCGGUAACACCUGAAGUCGGCGACCCAACCGCAAGGAGGGAGCUGCCUAAGGUGGG
RNAcentral lists this ribosomal RNA (1419 nucleotides) under uncultured organism. Its description in RNAcentral is "bacterial SSU rRNA". It matches the Rfam family "Bacterial small subunit ribosomal RNA". The record is from RNAcentral.